GAUGAACGCUAGCUACAGGCUUAACACAUGCAAGUCGAGGGGCAGCAUGAACUUAGCUUGCUAAGUUUGAUGGCGACCGGCGCACGGGUGAGUAACACGUAUCCAACCUGCCGAUGACUCGGGGAUAGCCUUUCGAAAGAAAGAUUAAUACCCGAUGGCAUAAUUCUUCCGCAUGGUAGAACUAUUAAAGAAUUUCGGUCAUCGAUGGGGAUGCGUUCCAUUAGGUUGUUGGCGGGGUAACGGCCCACCAAGCCUUCGAUGGAUAGGGGUUCUGAGAGGAAGGUCCCCCACAUUGGAACUGAGACACGGUCCAAACUCCUACGGGAGGCAGCAGUGAGGAAUAUUGGUCAAUGGUCGGCAGACUGAACCAGCCAAGUCGCGUGAGGGAAGACGGCCCUACGGGUUGUAAACCUCUUUUGUCGGAGAGUAAAGUACGCUACGUGUAGUGUAUUGCAAGUAUCCGAAGAAAAAGCAUCGGCUAACUCCGUG
RNAcentral lists this ribosomal RNA (489 nucleotides) under uncultured bacterium. RNAcentral's name for it is "bacterial SSU rRNA". It matches the Rfam family "Bacterial small subunit ribosomal RNA", at positions 28 to 507 of the family's 1533-position model. The record is from RNAcentral.